Non-coding RNA from Heterocephalus glaber (naked mole-rat), 473 nucleotides. The record is from RefSeq and is a predicted model, not a curated record. Lineage: Eukaryota; Metazoa; Chordata; Mammalia; Rodentia; Bathyergidae.
GGGGCAUGAGGACCCUGGGGUGGCUCACACCAGCCCCUCUCCACCCUGCCGCCCCCGCUUUCUGUCCCGUGUGCCUUCCUCGACCUUGGUCUCACGAGGCCUCUUCCGGAAGCGCGGCCGGGGCCGAAGGGGUUCCAUGCCGAGGACCUUGUGGAUCUGCCGGAAGGCCACCAUUCUCAGGGCGUGCUGGUCUCACUAAGUUGCUAGCUGGCCCAUGCUGGUCUUGAACUUGCAGUCCUCCUGCCUCAGCCUCCCAGGGUGCUGGGAUGAGAAGUGUGUCAUCCUCUUCUCCCACUUGGCAUCAUCCCGUGUCAACAAAAGCUACUGGAACUGCCCUUUUCAGUGUCCUGUUCCCAACCACCCUAGGGAGUGUCUGUUGUGCCACUGCCUCCCUGGAUUAUAAACCGAGAGCUAGACAAGCUAUCUGCUGCCUGCUUCUUUUGAAUAAAUAACAACAUAUCCAUUCAAAUCCA